GAAGCUGCAUUGUGUAGCCAGCCGGUUUAUCUUUUUAUGUUGUACAGUUUGUUAGUUUACCGUAAAUAUGUCUUGAUUUGUACUCAAGAGUGGAGCAAGGCCCUAUGGAACAGAGAUUGACGCAUCGUGAGCGAAGAACAGACGCGAUGGAUGGUUAGGCUGCUUGACUCUCGGCUGUACGACUCUCGGCAUGUUAGGACUGGCAAAGUUCCGAAUUUGUCGCGGUGUGGUGUACGCUUCUGUGCUCGUCAAGUGCCGUCAGAGCGCGGGGAUGUUUGAACGGAAUGUGUCCCUUCGUCUACAAAACUCUGCACGCUGCGGCAUCGAAGUCCUGUGUACGGGUGCACGUAUGCGCUUGGAUACGGGAUAGCCUGCCCUCAACGGAUGUUCUACAGUGUACGCACGCUGCGCGUACGCGUACGUAUGAGACUAGUUGCUGGUGUCCUACUGGAGUUGAGAAGAGAUCUGCUGCCUGCCAUGAGGCCAUGUCUCUCAAGUUACCGCAAUAUUGUUGCCUUCAAACCUGUCGAGACAAGGUUUCUUUACAUGGCCAUGGCGCUCAAGGAAGAAACCGAGACUGUAGACUGCCAACGUUCAUUCCUGUUCCGGCAAAGACGGGCCAGCAGUAACCAGCAGGAUUUUACAAAGUGAACUCAUCACAGCUUGAGCCACUCCAUGCCACAAGCAGUUGCUCCUCGAGCCACCGUGCAAAGGUUCCUUGGGGCACAAGUCCAACUCAGCGCCACAACCUUUCUUCUGCAGUUUUUCUACCUACUUAGCUAACCAGCAGCAAGUUUAUCCUUGCAAGGCAUGUGGGAACAGCUUUCACCAGGAAACAGUGCAAGACGAGUGGUCGAAGAAAAUAAAAUUGCUUCUGUGAUCUAAAGU
Long non-coding RNA from Dermacentor silvarum, 888 nucleotides. RefSeq lists it as uncharacterized. Lineage: Eukaryota; Metazoa; Arthropoda; Arachnida; Ixodida; Ixodidae. The transcript is spliced from 4 exons. The record is from RefSeq and is a predicted model, not a curated record.